AAUUGAAGAGUUUGAUCAUGGCUCAGAUUGAACGCUGGCGGCAGGCCUAACACAUGCAAGUCGAACGGUAACAGGAAGCAGCUUGCUGCUUCGCUGACGAGUGGCGGACGGGUGAGUAAUGUCUGGGAAACUGCCUGAUGGAGGGGGAUAACUACUGGAAACGGUGGCUAAUACCGCAUAACGUCGCAAGACCAAAGAGGGGGACCUUCGGGCCUCUUGCCAUCAGAUGUGCCCAGAUGGGAUUAGCUUGUUGGUGAGGUAACGGCUCACCAAGGCGACGAUCCCUAGCUGGUCUGAGAGGAUGACCAGCCACACUGGAACUGAGACACGGUCCAGACUCCUACGGGAGGCAGCAGUGGGGAAUAUUGCACAAUGGGCGCAAGCCUGAUGCAGCCAUGCCGCGUGUAUGAAGAAGGCCUUCGGGUUGUAAAGUACUUUCAGCGGGGAGGAAGGUGUUGUGGUUAAUAACCACAGCAAUUGACGUUACCCGCAGAAGAAGCACCGGCUAACUCCGUGCCAGCAGCCGCGGUAAUACGGAGGGUGCAAGCGUUAAUCGGAAUUACUGGGCGUAAAGCGCACGCAGGCGGUCUGUCAAGUCGGAUGUGAAAUCCCCGGGCUCAACCUGGGAACUGCAUUCGAAACUGGCA
RNAcentral lists this ribosomal RNA (647 nucleotides) under Salmonella enterica subsp. enterica serovar Enteritidis str. 3402. RNAcentral's name for it is "bacterial SSU rRNA". It matches the Rfam family "Bacterial small subunit ribosomal RNA", at positions 1 to 638 of the family's 1533-position model. The record is from RNAcentral. Lineage: Bacteria; Pseudomonadati; Pseudomonadota; Gammaproteobacteria; Enterobacterales; Enterobacteriaceae.